Long non-coding RNA from Carassius carassius (crucian carp), 670 nucleotides. RefSeq lists it as uncharacterized. The record is from RefSeq and is a predicted model, not a curated record. The transcript has 3 exons. Lineage: Eukaryota; Metazoa; Chordata; Actinopteri; Cypriniformes; Cyprinidae.
UUGCUGUAGUUUCUACAGCAAAAUUUUACAGAAUUUUACUGUAUAAACAUUUUACAAGAUGCAGCUGUAGUUCGCAAUGCAUUAUGGGUCAAAUAAGGUUUUACAGUUGUUAACAGUAUAUUUCCACGUCAACUGUAAUUCAUUUACAAGAAGCAGGUGUUGUCACUGUAGUUCCUGCUUUUUACACUAACUUACUGUAGUGUGGCAUUAUGGGAUUGCGCGCGCAUCAUUCAAAUCUGAAACCCAGCCGACUGGAGCAGCCCGAGAACGAUUGAAGAUAAGAGGCUUUAUUCAUAAUUCCUGGUGCAAAGAAUAGCAGCUGAUGUGGAGAAAUGUUCGAUGCUUCAAGACUCUGAAGCUGAUUUUAUUAGGUAAUGUAUUAAUUCUUUAAAUAAUUUGAUAAACUUGUAAUUUAGAUUACAUUUUAUAUUGAAAUACUGCAUUGUAGGUUACAUUAUUGCUUAUAUUUAUUCAUUUCAGGUCCACCCUGUGGCUUUUGACUAUUUGAGGGUCAGAUGGUUGUGAAUUCAUACCUCAACAUUGUGCGUCCCGGGAGCAGGCAUCUUUUGCACACAUUAAUUUUUUCAAAGAUGUUUUCUUGGAAUCACAACACUCACUGGAUACAAGACGGACACAUAGAGGCAAAACAAGUGGAAAAGUCUCAGAGAAG